GAUCCCUCCUUUGGGGUUUUACAGUGAGCCCAGGAUAAGGAGGUUCUGUGUUUCUAAAUGGGGAAGUGAUCAGAAGAGCUGAAGUGAAGACUGUGUGCUGUUUACCUCUCUAGGAAGCACAUGGACUCACUGCUGGAUGGCCAGAGGUGUUUUGAUGGGGUGCUUCUGAUCUGCACCCCAUCAAUGUCAAAUGUUCCCACUGAGCACUGGUGGUGGGGAAGCCCCAACUCACAUCCUUUUCCUUAGCUGUAGUUUUUCCAAAGCUGUAGUUUCACUGUAUCUGUUUAUGUCAGUAGGUUGAUUUAUUGUCACAUGUACACAGGAUUUUACUGAGUUAUUGCAGAAACUGUAUGCAUUUUUUGUAGUGUAGCAAUGUUCGUACAGAGAACAGAGGAACAGAAAAGACUGUCCUGUCCAAAUGUGCUCUCACCAUGAUCAUAAAGUUUCUGUCUGACCUUUCCUCAACUUACUUGCAUUAUAACACACUGAGAGCGCCUAUGAUCUCCAACAUCCAUUUAAGCCUAUCCUGUUUUCUUCACUGUUUCCAAAGUGGCAGCAUUAAACUGAUGGCUUUGCAGUCUCUGGGAUUCUUCUCUUUGAGCUGCAUGUCUUCUCUCCAAUAAAUAAAUAGAUGUUAUUUAUGAGUCUUCAUUAAUUAAUCUUCCUUAUACUUUUAGUGAACACAAAACAUGGGGCAUAUGCCCUAAUGAAGUUAAAUGAAGUCACUGUCACCCAGUGUAUAGAUGCCAUAGUAUUACAUUGCUGAAACAGGAGAAGAAAUCAAGUUGCAAGUUGUAGCCCCAGAAAUCCUUUAUUUUAUUUUACUUUGCUGUUUCUACCCCAUUAAAUACUUACAUUCAGUUAUCUCACAGGUUUUAGUUGACAUAUUCAGCAG
Long non-coding RNA from Phasianus colchicus (ring-necked pheasant), 895 nucleotides. RefSeq lists it as uncharacterized. The record is from RefSeq and is a predicted model, not a curated record. Lineage: Eukaryota; Metazoa; Chordata; Aves; Galliformes; Phasianidae.